RNAcentral lists this unclassified non-coding RNA (348 nucleotides) under soil metagenome. RNAcentral's name for it is "partial contains 5.8S ribosomal RNA, internal transcribed spacer 2, and large subunit ribosomal RNA". The stretch from base 1 to 120 matches the Rfam family "5.8S ribosomal RNA", at positions 35 to 154 of the family's 154-position model. The record is from RNAcentral.
GAUGAAGAACGCAGCGAAAUGCGAAAAGUAAUGUGAAUUGCAGAAUUCAGUGAAUCAUCGAAUCUUUGAACGCACAUUGCGCCCGCCAGUAUUCUGGCGGGCAUGCCUGUCUGAGCGUCAUUUCAACCCUCACGCCCCUAGGGCGUGGUGUUGGGGAUCGGCCAAAGCCCGCGAGGGACGGCCGGCCCCUAAAUCUAGUGGCGGACCCGUCGUGGCCUCCUCUGCGAAGUAGUGAUAUUCCGCAUCGGAGAGCGACGAGCCCCUGCCGUUAAACCCCCAACUUUCCAAGGUUGACCUCAGAUCAGGUAGGAAUACCCGCUGAACUUAAGCAUAUCAAUAAGCGGAGGA